UAGUUGCAAGGUAUAGACCCGAAACCCGGUGAUCUAGCCAUGGGCAGGUUGAAGGUUGGGUAACACUAACUGGAGGACCGAACCGACUAAUGUUGAAAAAUUAGCGGAUGACUUGUGGCUGGGGGUGAAAGGCCAAUCAAACCGGGAGAUAGCUGGUUCUCCCCGAAAUCUAUUUAGGUAGAGCCUUGAGCGGACACCUUCGGGGGUAGAGCACUGUUUCGGCUAGGGGUCCAUCCCGGAUUACCAACCCGAUGCAAACUACGAAUACCGAAGAGUGAUACUCAGGAGACACACGGCGGGUGCUAACGUCCGUCGUGGAGAGGGAAACAACCCAGACCGCCAGCUAAGGUCCCAAAGUCUAUAUUAAGUGGGAAACGAAGUGGGAAGGCUUAGACAGCUAGGAUGUUGGCUUAGAAGCAGCCAUCAUUUAAAGAAAGCGUAAUAGCUCACUAGUCGAGUCGGCCUGCGCGGAAGAUGUAACGGGGCUCAAAUAUAGCACCGAAGCUGCGGCAUCAGACGUAAGUCUGUUGGGUAGGGGAGCGUUCUGUAAGCGGAUGAAGGUGAAUCGAGAGGUUUGCUGGACGUAUCAGAAGUGCGAAUGCUGACAUAAGUAACGAUAAAACGGGUGAAAAACCCGUUCGCCGGAAGACCAAGGGUUCCUGUCCAACGUUAAUCGGGGCAGGGUGAGUCGGCCCCUAAGGCGAGGCUGAAAAGCGUAGUCGAUGGGAAACGGGUUAAUAUUCCCGUACUUGGAUAAACUGCGAUGUGGGGACGGAGCAGGUUAGGUUAUCGCACUGUUGGAUAUGUGCGUUUAAGUUGGUAGGUGUGAAGUUUAGGCAAAUCCGGACUUCUUUAACACCGAGAGAUGAUGACGAGGCUCUACGGAGCUGAAGUAACCGAUACCACACUUCCAGGAAAAGCCACUAAGCUUCAGGUUUAUCUAAACCGUACUGAAAACCGACACAGGUGGUCAGGUAGAGAAUACUCAGGCGCUUGAGAGAACUCGGGUGAAGGAACUAGGCAAAAUAGCACCGUAACUUCGGGAGAAGGUGCGCCGGCGUAGAUUGUAGUCCCUCGCGGGCGAAGGUUGAACCGGUCGAAGAUACCAGCUGGCUGCAACUGUUUAUUAAAAACACAGCACUCUGCAAACACGAAAGUGGACGUAUAGGGUGUGAUGCCUGCCCGGUGCUGGAAGGUUAAUUGAUGGUGUAAUCGAAAGAGAAGCUCCUGAUCGAAGCCCCAGUAAACGGCGGCCGUAACUAUAACGGUCCUAAGGUAGCGAAAUUCCUUGUCGGGUAAGUUCCGACCUGCACGAAUGGCAUAAUGAUGGCCAGGCUGUCUCCACCCGAGACUCAGUGAAAUUGAAAUCGCCGUGAAGAUGCGGUGUACCCGCGGCUAGACGGAAAGACCCCGUGAACCUUUACUAUAGCUUGACACUGAACAUUGAAUUUUGAUGUGUAGGAUAGGUGGGAGACUUAGAAGCAGUCACGCCAGUGAUUGUGGAGUCGACCUUGAAAUACCACCCUUUAACGUUUGAUGUUCUAACGAAGAUUACGAAACGUGGUCUCGGACAGUGUCUGGUGGGUAGUUUGACUGGGGCGGUCUCCUCCCAAAGAGUAACGGAGGAGCACGAAGGUUUGCUAAUGACGGUCGGACAUCGUCAGGUUAGUGCAAUGGUAUAAGCAAGCUUAACUGCGAGACAGACAAGUCGAGCAGGUACGAAAGUAGGUCAUAGUGAUCCGGUGGUUCUGAAUGGAAGGGCCAUCGCUCAACGGAUAAAAGGUACUCCGGGGAUAACAGGCUGAUACCGCCCAAGAGUUCAUAUCGACGGCGGUGUUUGGCACCUCGAUGUCGGCUCAUCACAUCCUGGGGCUGAAGUAGGUCCCAAGGGUAUGGCUGUUCGCCAUUUAAAGUGGUACGCGAGCUGGGUUUAGAACGUCGUGAGACAGUUCGGUCCCUAUCUGCCGUGGGCGUUGGAGAAUUGAUUGGGGCUGCUCCUAGUACGAGAGGACCGGAGUGGACGCACCACUGGUGUUCCGGUUGUGUCGCCAGACGCAUUGCCGGGUAGCUAAGUGCGGAAGAGAUAAGUGCUGAAAGCAUCUAAGCACGAAACUUGCCAAGAGAUGAGUUCUCCCUGUUUUUAAGACAGUAAGGGUUGUUUAAGACUAAGACGUAGAUAGGUCUGGUGUGUAAGCGGUGCGAGCCGUUGAGCUAACAGAUACUAAUUGCCCGAGAGGCUUAACUAU
RNAcentral lists this ribosomal RNA (2246 nucleotides) under gut metagenome. RNAcentral describes it as "bacterial LSU rRNA". It matches the Rfam family "Bacterial large subunit ribosomal RNA", at positions 697 to 2925 of the family's 2925-position model. The record is from RNAcentral.